This 461-nucleotide ribosomal RNA is filed under the name uncultured bacterium. RNAcentral describes it as "partial 16S ribosomal RNA". It matches the Rfam family "Bacterial small subunit ribosomal RNA", at positions 29 to 523 of the family's 1533-position model. The record is from RNAcentral.
AACGAACGCUGGCGGCAGGCCUAACACAUGCAAGUCGAACGAGCUGAGACCUUCGGGUCUCGAUGCUAGUGGCGCACGGGUGAGUAACGCGUGGGAACGUACCCUUUAGUACGGAAUAACCAAGGGAAACUUUGGCUAAUACCGUAUACGCCCUUCGGGGGAAAGAUUUAUCGCUAAAGGAUCGGCCCGCGUCUGAUUAGGUAGUUGGUGAGGUAACGGCUCACCAAGCCGACGAUCAGUAGCUGGUCUGAGAGGAUGAUCAGCCACACUGGGACUGAGACACGGCCCAGACUCCUACGGGAGGCAGCAGUGGGGAAUAUUGGACAAUGGGCGAAAGCCUGAUCCAGCCAUGCCGCGUGAGUGAAGAAGGCCUUCGGGUUGUAAAGCUCUUUCGACGGGGACGAUGAUGACGGUACCCGUAUAAGAAGCCCCGGCAAACUUCGUGCCAGCCGCCGCCGUAA